Vitis riparia (riverbank grape) is the source of this 690-nucleotide long non-coding RNA. RefSeq lists it as uncharacterized. The transcript has 2 exons. Lineage: Eukaryota; Viridiplantae; Streptophyta; Magnoliopsida; Vitales; Vitaceae. The record is from RefSeq and is a predicted model, not a curated record.
ACACUAAAGUGUAAAUCAAAUCAAAAAAAUUUCAUUAUCAAACACACCAUUUAGCUUGCUUGACGUCGUCUCCAAUCUCUGAACACACAAACAACGUGAACGAAACCCUGAUUAUUAUUGUUUAGAGCUGGAAAAACUAUGAGUAAUCUGAGAACGAUUUGUAGACCUCACAUCCACAUAGUAUUCUUCUCUUCCUUCAUAUGCUGCAGAAGCCAAGCUGCCAAAUCUAGGGUUUCUUUUCGAAACCCUAACUCCCAGUCCCGUGUCUCCUUGCCUUGUGCGUUCUCUCCUUGGUGUUAUUCCAACAGAAACGAGCCGUGGUUUCGUGUGAGUCAGAGGAGAACGCUGGUUAGAGCAUCCAAGUGGACCGACGAGAAGUCUCCCUAUGAGACUCUUGUGCAAAAACAUAUUUGCAGGUGGUGAGAGCGAUUGAGAAUUAAAAAAUUAGCUGACACUCUUUAGUAAUAGUUUGAUCAAUUUGAAUGAGGUGACAAACUUACUCCCUGGCACUUGGUGAGAAAUUGAGGUUGUUUUUUCUUUCUUUUUUUUUUUUCAUUAAGGCCAUGCUUGGCAUGAUUGUUUUAUAGCCUGGAAGUUCUUAAUUACUAUUACAGAGAACUUUUAACUGAUAUUUGAUUACAACUCAAGGGCUCUAGAAUAGAGAAGUUUGCAUCAGGAUUAAUUUUUUUU